Carassius auratus (goldfish) is the source of this 256-nucleotide long non-coding RNA. RefSeq lists it as uncharacterized. The record is from RefSeq and is a predicted model, not a curated record. Lineage: Eukaryota; Metazoa; Chordata; Actinopteri; Cypriniformes; Cyprinidae. The transcript has 3 exons.
GACCAUAUUCUCCUGAUCACAGUGUUUGGUCCCUGAAAAGUGACAAAUCAAUGAAAAUACCAAUUCAGUUAAAGAAUGGAGUUUUUGCAUCUGAUCAAAGUUCUGAGGAAAGAUCACAUUACCCUGAUCUGAGUGUUUUGUCAAUGAAAAGUGAUAAAUCAAUGAAAAUACCAAUUCAGUUAAAGGAUGGAGAUUUUGUAUCUGAUCAAAGUUCUAAGACAAGACCAUAUUCUCCUGAUCCCAGUGUUUGGUCCCU